AAAAUCAUAUACCGAAUCUGUGGGUUUAUAAAAUUUUCGAAUUUUAUAAGCGGUAGCGGAACGUUCUGUAAGCCUGUGAAGGAGUACCCGUGAGGGACUCUGGAGGUAUCAGAAGUGCGAAUGCUGACAUAAGUAACGAUAAAAGAAGUGAAAAACUUCUUCGCCGAAAAUCCAAGGGUUUCUGCGCAAGGUUAAUCCGCGCAGAGUUAGUCGGCACCUAAGGCGAGGGCGAAAGCCGUAGUCGAUGGAAAUAAGGUUAAUAUUCCUUAACCAGAUGGUAGUGACGGAUCUUGUAAGUUGUGUACUCUUAAUGGAUUGAGUAUGCCGCGAAAAGGUUCCAAGAAAUAGCUCCAUCAUUAGACCGUACCCUAAACCGACACAGGUGGAUUAAUAGAGUAUAUUUAGGCGCUUGAGAGAAUGAUGUUGAAGGAACUCGGCAAAAUGCUUCCGUAACUUCGGGAUAAGGAAGACCUGUUUUUAGGCAACUAGAGAUGGGUGGCACAAGCCAGGGAGAAGCGACUGUUUAUCAAAAACACAGGGCUCUGCUAACACGUAAGUGGAUGUAUAGGGUCUGACGCCUGCCCGGUGCUGGAAGGUUAAUGCGGUUGGUGUUACCCAACUU
RNAcentral lists this ribosomal RNA (622 nucleotides) under Pelagibacterales bacterium SAG-MED02. RNAcentral describes it as "partial 23S ribosomal RNA". It matches the Rfam family "Bacterial large subunit ribosomal RNA", at positions 1183 to 1911 of the family's 2925-position model. Lineage: Bacteria; Pseudomonadati; Pseudomonadota; Alphaproteobacteria; Candidatus Pelagibacterales. The record is from RNAcentral.